RNAcentral lists this ribosomal RNA (466 nucleotides) under uncultured bacterium. RNAcentral describes it as "partial 16S ribosomal RNA". It matches the Rfam family "Bacterial small subunit ribosomal RNA", at positions 29 to 506 of the family's 1533-position model. The record is from RNAcentral.
ACGAACGCUGGCGGCGUGCUUAACACAUGCAAGUCGAACGGAAAGGCCCUGCUUUUGUGGGGUGCUCGAGUGGCGAACGGGUGAGUAACACGUGAGUAACCUGCCCUUGACUUUGGGAUAACUUCAGGAAACUGGGGCUAAUACCGGAUAGGAGCUCCUGCUGCAUGGUGGGGGUUGGAAAGUUUCGGCGGUUGGGGAUGGACUCGCGGCUUAUCAGCUUGUUGGUGGGGUAGUGGCUUACCAAGGCUUUGACGGGUAGCCGGCCUGAGAGGGUGACCGGCCACAUUGGGACUGAGAUACGGCCCAGACUCCUACGGGAGGCAGCAGUGGGGAAUAGUGCACAAUGGGCGGAAGCCUGAUGCAGCAACGCCGCGUGCGGGAUGACGGCCUUCGGGUUGUAAACCGCUUUCGCCUGUGACGAAGCGUGAGUGACGGUAAUGGGUAAAGAAGCACCGGCUAACUACGU